This 116-nucleotide small RNA is filed under the name Marmota monax (woodchuck). The record is from RNAcentral. Lineage: Eukaryota; Metazoa; Chordata; Mammalia; Rodentia; Sciuridae.
GCUAGGUGUGGUGCUUCAUGCCUGUAAUUCCAGCUAUUCUGGAGGCUGAGGCAGGAAGAUUGCUUGAACCCAGGAAUUUGAGGCCAGCCUGAGCAACAUAGUGAAACCCAUCUCAA